This 263-nucleotide unclassified non-coding RNA is filed under the name plant metagenome. Its description in RNAcentral is "partial contains small subunit ribosomal RNA, internal transcribed spacer 1, and 5.8S ribosomal RNA". The record is from RNAcentral.
UUUCCGUAGGUGAACCUGCGGAAGGAUCAUUAUUGUAUAGCCGAGGUGCGAGGGCUGUCGCUGACCCGAAAGGUCGUGCACGCCCGAGUGCCCUCACACACAUCCAUCUCACCCCUAUGUGCACCACCGCGUGAGUCCCCCUUUGGCUUGUUCGGAGGGGGGCUUACGUCUGCACACAAACUUUGUAUGCAGUGUAGAAUGUAUUUUUUGUUUUUGCGAUCACGCAAUCAAUACAACUUUCAACAACGGAUCUCUUGGCUCUC